Dermacentor albipictus is the source of this 3713-nucleotide non-coding RNA. Lineage: Eukaryota; Metazoa; Arthropoda; Arachnida; Ixodida; Ixodidae. The record is from RefSeq and is a predicted model, not a curated record.
AUCUCGUCCGGCGCAACCUGAACACUGUGUACGUAUCUAUUGUCCGCGUAAAGCAUUAUUGCGUCCUUUAAAUAUUUAUCACAUCAGGCAAUUUGUACGCGAGGUUCCCCUUCAACCAUGCCAAGCAUUACCGCCGGUGUGGCAAUACAAAGGGCAAUUAAAGAGGCGCUCCGGCAUUACAGAGGCUGUUGAAACAUGCCGCUGAGCGGAUUGCUGAAUUGAUGGUGAGUUUAGCGCCGAAUGCGCCAGAAGUGUGUAGAAAGCUGACGGCCAUCGGGAAGCAGUGCGUUUCGCAGACGGGAUAUCAAGAGCCAGUGACCAUGGAGAUGUCGAUGACAACAACCUCUGCAUCGCCCAAUUCCGACUUUGAAGACAGCGGCAUCAAGAAUGACACCUUCACCACGUAUGUCGACGCCUACAUUAUCUACGGACUUAUCAGCGCCUUGCUGGCGUCCUCGCUUAUCGUUCUUCUAGUAGCCGUUGCGGCUCACGCCCUUAAAAGAAAGCCAGAACGAGCGGCGAGGACUUCUUCCACCAACACCGGUUCGGCGCGGGCUCACUCGUGGGUGAUGCUCUGUCACGAAGACCGGGAGGCGGGUGCGCCAACAACCGGCUCGCCCGACGACAACGUAAUCGACUGUGAAGCUGCACCUUCGCGGCCAGACACUGUAGAGCCUCCGCGCGUUGCGGCGGGCUCGAGGCGGCUAGGAAGCCGAAGACCUUCCCUCAGCGCAUUUCUCGCUGCCACGGCGAAGAAUGCGGGUGACGGUGGGACCGCACCGAAAGCCGCUGUCGCGGAAAACGAGACGGCCGUCUGAACGGUGAUGCGUAUGAGUAGCGACGGUUUUAGGCGUCCUCGCUUCGUGGUAUAACAUGUUUGCCAGUCUGCUCGGCAUUCCGAAAUUGUUAUGUUUGUACGCGUGUCGACAGCGCCACAUAUCAGUAAAAGUUGGCGGGGAUGGAGGGUCCCAAACGUUAGUUACGCGAGAGGAAGAUGUUUUCAAAUUCGUCAAGUCAUCGCGUAUUGAAAGUGAUUUGUCUGUGUCCCUUGGAUGGAUUGUCUUCGGGGAAGUUGGUAAGGUGUCAGAGCAAGAAAAGAAAGAGAGAAGAAAGGAACAGAUAGAGCGAGUUGUACAAGACGGAAAGAAUGCACGAAUGUAUGUCAAAGAACAAUAGAAAAAGUGAGAAAAGGUCACAUAAAAGGUGAACAAAUGCUUAAGACACCGUUCUUGGAACUCGAAACAUGAUCGUCAAGCAAGCGAGCUUUUCAUCUCAAUGAAAUUAGAGCCUGACUGUCACGUGCCACGCUUAUCUGCACUGUGUCUUUUUUUUACCUAAAUCUUUUGUAAUGCGUGCCAUUAUAUUCUAUUUUGCCUUUGAUGCGUAAUGAUGGGCGUCAACACUGCGUAUUGUAGAAAACCUGUUAGUUUGGUAAUAUGUGGGAAUUUCAUGUUGAUGACUGCAGAAGAGUUACACUACGUCAAGGUGCAGUGUACGACACUGGAGUGUCUGAGUGACUGAGUGGGGACCAACGACGAAAACUUACGCACGAGAUGAGGUAUGCAAGGGCUAAGGGCUCCGGAAUAAUAUCGUUAUCUUUUAGUUCCUAAAAGCGAGCCCAAAUAAGCUGAAAUGGAUGUUUCAGCAUUCUACCAUCAGCAAGAGGUGGCCGGUAGAGUGAACACGCCACCCCGCGCUCAGCAGCUGAAUGCAACUGAGGUCGGCUAGCUAAUUAUUGCAAGUUGUAUUUUCGUCUGCCUUCCGUAUUAUAGUAUAUAUAUUUCAAACAUACAUAACAAUUCAUUCCUCCUAUGGGCCUUGUCUGGUUUCAUUGUAUUUUUUGUUCAUGUAGUUGUAAGUGAAAAAAAAAAGAAAGAAAAUUCCAACCCCUCGGAUAUCUCUAGUCCUUGCUCUCGACCCAGUGUUGGAUUCUUAACGUCUUGUGUCGCUAACUGAGCACCGACAUUCAAGAUUAACAUGGUGUACUACUCCAUGCAUCAUACUUACGUAAAUAAUGGGAUUCGAACCCAUCGCGUCCUAAAACUGGUUCCUUGUUUCUUUAUUAUUGCAGUUUGAGCUUCUCAUUGCGGCAUCCGUUGCCUUGUGAUUGCUAUUGUGUUCAUUGGUCAUUUUAUUAUCAAGAACUAAACCACACUGAGGACCAUGCGAGUAAAAAUAGGUCGCACAUGGUGCUCAUUUCUAAACUGAAUGGGGCCCGACAGUCCCAAAGAAAGAGAGAGAGAGAGAGAGGGAUUAAUGUAGGGCGGGUGAGCCGAUGGCAUCCAGAAAUUUCAGGAGGCGACAGGGGCGUACGUUGAAGUGUCGGCCCUACGGUGUAGGCUUAUGGGUCAGCUGCCAGUAUUUACGCCAGGGAAAGCACAGCGCUCGCGGUCCGCCCGUGGCGUUCUGGAACGGGUGCGGAUGACGUUGGCUGGCAAUGGAUGGAGCAGUGAGGGCAUGCUCGAGGGAUUGUGUUGUGGGCCGCUCUCCUGGAUGCGGGAGCUGCCAGUGUUACCAGCACAUCCAGUCUCCGGAUGCACCGCAGAAACGAAAAGGGACGUUGUCCAUUCCGAGCGGUAAACAGCGCUAAACAACAGGACGAAGAGAGGGACACAGACCACAUGCAGCACUGACUAGCAAUCAAUCUUGGUUGUUAGUCAGCGCUGUGCUCUGUGUCCUUCUCUUCGUCCUGUUGCUUAGCGGUGUUUACUGCUCGUAAUCAUGAACCAACCAGCUCAUAUCCGUACUCUUCUGCACUGGUCAAUUCAUCUCUUGGUUCUUCUUUUAGUUUAUAUUUGUCCUUUCUUCGCAAUGUACGGCGUCAGACUCGCCAAACUUGUGGUGGUUCCGUAUUUCGCAUUUAGUAUCGUAACGUUUCUAUGCGUCACAUGCUUCGUGCCUUCAGUUUGCACUGAUGAUAGCCGAGAGCUCAAUCUUGAGCAAUUACACCUACUGUAACGUAUGCCACAGAACUUAUUUGCGCGUGUAUAUCUUAUUGUUGUGUUAUUCAUCGCCUAACAUUUCCAUUCCCGCUAUUCGUGUCAUGGGGCGCUAAAGUGUGAAGCUAUUCCAAACUGUUUCGGUUCCAUUUCUGCAAUCAGCACUCCACGAUUGGCCAAAUAUUUUUCAGGCUAUCGCCGCUUCGCCUGUCUGUCAGGCAAUGUCACGAAAACCGCGAAAACUCCCGAUUCGAUAUUGCGUGUGCAUACUGAUUAUGCAUGAUUAGACCGAAAAAAAGUUAUUAUUGCUGAUUCAACACUUUUUUCGCCAUGAACCCUCCGAUACUACUCAAAAUCUUUCUGGCUGCGUCCACUUCGCUUUUCUGUCACGAGGCGUCGCAACACCGCGACAACUCACCGCGUGAAAGUGCGCAUUGCAGAUGUAUUAAUAUACCGAAGAAAACUGUGCUUUCUUCGUAGUAGCCGGAGAGUGCGCCGUUCUGAAAGGAAUAGAAGAUGUCUGCCCUCCGAUCGCUCUAGCCCUCGCUACUCGGAGCUGUCGGAGAGAACGGAAUUUAUUUGCGUAUAAUUUUUACGUGGCAGCAUAACGUUACUAAGCCCUUUCGGCACAUAUGCGACAUCUCUCUGCCAACUGUUCUUCGACAAAGAUCCGAUGUAAUGGCACUCCUUAACCUUUCAUGUUACGCCGCCGCAAUUUUCGUCCAGCCACUGCAAGCUAAGCCAGGGGAAGCGGGCCAAUCCCAGAUGCCGUUA